GUUUGCCAAGGCACAUUGUAAGAGCUGUAAAGAGAGAGGGACUCGGAGAGAGAACAGGUAGAACCUGAUAUGUAAAUGAGCAGAGCAAACGAAAGCAACUUUCAACGACCGAAUGAUCAUUCAGACUCUGUUUCUAUUGAGAGAUAAAAGGCUGGUUGAAUGAGCUGCCUGUGAAAGCUACUUCAUCUGCAAGAAAACAGGCGGCUGCACCAGUGACUGUCAGAAGUUUUGUGAUUUCCUCAUAUGAACGUGAAAGGGUCCUGUCUCUAAAAUGAGUCUCUCUGGGGAGAGGAAGGAGGGGGACCCUGCCUCUAAAAUGAGUCUCUCUGGGGAACAUGACACCAAAUCUAAGAGUCCAAUCAAGCAGGAGAGACCAGCCUCCCCUGUACCCAGCUGUGUGUCCAUGAAGAGUGACCGGUCUUUGCGUCAACCUAUAGAGUUUAGAGAGGGAGACUUUUCUACUGAACAAAG
Non-coding RNA from Salmo salar (Atlantic salmon), 471 nucleotides. The record is from RefSeq and is a predicted model, not a curated record. NCBI's taxonomy places the organism in Eukaryota, Metazoa, Chordata, Actinopteri, Salmoniformes, Salmonidae.